RNAcentral lists this ribosomal RNA (496 nucleotides) under uncultured bacterium. Its description in RNAcentral is "partial 16S ribosomal RNA". It matches the Rfam family "Bacterial small subunit ribosomal RNA", at positions 28 to 506 of the family's 1533-position model. The record is from RNAcentral.
GAUGAACGCUGGCGGCGUGCCUAAUACAUGCAAGUCGAGCGAACGGACGAGAAGCUUGCUUCUCUGAUGUUAGCGGCGGACGGGUGAGUAACACGUGGAUAACCUACCUAUAAGACUGGGAUAACUUCGGGAAACCGGAGCUAAUACCGGAUAAUAUUUUGAACCGCAUGGUUCAAAAGUGAAAGACGGUCUUGCUGUCACUUAUAGAUGGAUCCGCGCUGCAUUAGCUAGUUGGUAAGGUAACGGCUUACCAAGGCAACGAUGCAUAGCCGACCUGAGAGGGUGAUCGGCCACACUGGAACUGAGACACGGUCCAGACUCCUACGGGAGGCAGCAGUAGGGAAUCUCCCGCAAUGGGCGAAAGCCUGACGGAGCAACGCCGCGUGAGUGAUGAAGGUCUUCGGAUCGUAAAACUCUGUUAUUAGGGAAGAACAUAUGUGUAAGUAACUGUGCACAUCUUGACGGUACCUAAUCAGAAAGCCACGGCUAACUACGU